UCAUUUAAGGUUGGUACGUCCAACGCGACCCCAGGUCAGGCGGGAUUACCCGCUGAAUUUAAGCAUAUCAAUAA
This 74-nucleotide ribosomal RNA is filed under the name Pilea microphylla. RNAcentral's name for it is "partial 28S ribosomal RNA". Lineage: Eukaryota; Viridiplantae; Streptophyta; Magnoliopsida; Rosales; Urticaceae. The record is from RNAcentral.